AUAAUCCAACCAAUCAUUUCAUUUGCAGAUGGGGAAAGAGAAGCUAGAGAAGGAUGGAACCUGCCUUAGAGGAAGAUGGAUAUACGGAUUGGACAGUACAUGUGGAAGUUUUAGCAAUGGGAUCGCAUAAUCCGACGGUUCCUUGGGACCCUCACCCACAUCUCGGAUGACCCGG
RNAcentral lists this long non-coding RNA (175 nucleotides) under Sus scrofa (pig). Its description in RNAcentral is "lncRNA (ENSSSCG00005012034.1)". Lineage: Eukaryota; Metazoa; Chordata; Mammalia; Artiodactyla; Suidae. The record is from RNAcentral.